GACGAAGGAUGCAAGCGUUAUCCGGAUUCAUUGGGUUUAAAGGGUGCGUAGGCGGACUGAUAAGUCAGUGGUGAAAUCUCUUUGCUUAACAAAGAAACUGCCAUUGAUACUGUCGGUCUAGAGUAUAGAUGACGUUGGCGGAAUAUGACGUGUAGUGGUGAAAUACUUAGAUAUGUCAUAGAACACCGAUUGCGAAGGCAGCUAACGAAACUAUAACUGACGCUGAGGCACGAAAGUGCGGGGAUCAAACAGG
RNAcentral lists this ribosomal RNA (253 nucleotides) under uncultured bacterium. Its description in RNAcentral is "partial 16S ribosomal RNA". It matches the Rfam family "Bacterial small subunit ribosomal RNA", at positions 524 to 776 of the family's 1533-position model. The record is from RNAcentral.